UUUGAUCCUGGCUCAGGAUGAACGCUAGCGGCAGGCUUAACACAUGCAAGUCGAGGGGUAACAGGGAUUGCUUGCAAUCCGCUGACGACCGGCGCACGGGUGCGUAACGCGUAUGCAACCUACCUUCUACAGGGGGAUAGUCAAUAGAAAUGUUGAAUAAUACCCCAUACGAUCUUUGAAUAGCAUUAUUUAAAGAAGAAAGUUCCGGCGGUAGAAGAUGGGCAUGCGUCCUAUUAGUUAGUUGGAGAGGUAACGGCUCCCCAAGACAUCGAUAGGUAGGGGUCCUGAGAGGGAGACCCCCCACACUGGUACUGAGACACGGACCAGACUCCUACGGGAGGCAGCAGUGAGGAAUAUUGGACAAUGGAGGCAACUCUGAUCCAGCCAUGCCGCGUGCAGGAAGACUGCCCUAUGGGUUGUAAACUGCUUUUAUACAGGAAGAAAUGUACCUACGUGUAGGUAUUUGACGGUACUGUACGAAUAAGGAUCGGCUAACUCCGUGCCAGCAGCCGCGGUAAUA
This 520-nucleotide ribosomal RNA is filed under the name uncultured bacterium. RNAcentral describes it as "bacterial SSU rRNA". It matches the Rfam family "Bacterial small subunit ribosomal RNA", at positions 12 to 525 of the family's 1533-position model. The record is from RNAcentral.